AUUGAACGCUGGCGGCAUGCCUUACACAUGCAAGUCGAACGGCAGCGCGGGGCAACCUGGCGGCGAGUGGCGAACGGGUGAGUAAUAUAUCGGAACAUACCCUAGAGUGGGGGAUAACGUAGCGAAAGUUACGCUAAUACCGCAUACGCACUAAGGUGGAAAGUGGGGGAUUCGCAAGAACCUCAUGCUCAUGGAGUGGCCGAUAUCUGAUUAGCUAGUUGGUGAGGUAAAGGCUCACCAAGGCAACGAUCAGUAGCUGGUUUGAGAGAACGACCCAGCCACACUGGAACUGAGACACGGUCCAGACUCCUACGGGAGGCAGCAGUGGGGAAUUUUGGACAAUGGGGGCAACCCUGAUCCAGCAAUGCCGCGUGAGUGAAGAAGGCCU
Molecule: ribosomal RNA, 388 nt
Filed under: uncultured bacterium
Lineage: Bacteria
Description: bacterial SSU rRNA
Rfam family: Bacterial small subunit ribosomal RNA
Source: RNAcentral